CCGUUCUACUCGACCCGCUCUGUUUAAUAGUUUGAUCUUCGGCUCCCAGUGGUGUAAUGUGCNGUAUGCCUAACACAUGCAAGUCUGAACGUGCAGCACACGUGAGAGCUUGCUCUCUGUGUGUGUGCUGAGUGGCUGUGACGUGGUAGAGUGAAUACACUCGUGAAUCUACUCUAGUCGUGUGUGUGUGAUAACGUAUGUGAAACUAUACGCCUAAUACCUGCAUACGACCUACUGUGUGUGAAAGCAUGUGGUGACCUUCUGUGGCCUUUGCUGCUGAUUUGAAUGAGCCUGAUGUCNGUGAUUAGCUAGUUUGGCUGGGUGUGAAUGUGCCCACCAAUGUGCUGACUGAUCCGUAGCUUGGUCUGAGAGUGAUGAUCAGCCACACUGGAACUGAGACACGGUACCAAGAACNNCCUACGUGUAGAGUGCAAGCAAGUAGAGGNGACAUAUUUGGACAAANGGGCGCAAGCCCUUGAUCCCCAGCCAAUAACCAGGCGUAGGCGUUGAAAGCAAGUGCCUUUCCGGGUNAGUAACANGCCCUUNUUUGUUGUGGGACAAUGAAAAUCCACGACUAGGACUAAAUAAACC
Molecule: ribosomal RNA, 591 nt
Filed under: uncultured bacterium
Lineage: Bacteria
Description: partial 16S ribosomal RNA
Source: RNAcentral